This 205-nucleotide ribosomal RNA is filed under the name uncultured bacterium. RNAcentral describes it as "partial 16S ribosomal RNA". It matches the Rfam family "Bacterial small subunit ribosomal RNA", at positions 568 to 774 of the family's 1533-position model. The record is from RNAcentral.
UUCGUAGGUGGCCAACUUAGUCAGACGUGAAAUCCCUCAGCUUAACUGGGGAACUGCGUCUGAUACUGGAUGGCUUGAGUGCAGGAGAGGAACGCGGAAUUCCAGGUGUAGCGGUGAAAUGCGUAGAUAUCUGGAGGAACACCGGUGGCGAAGGCGGCGUUCUGGACUGCAACUGACACUGAGGAACAAAGCCAGGGAGCAAACG